UACCUGGUUGAUCCUGCCAGUAGUCAUAUGCUUGUCUCAAAGAUUAAGCCAUGCAUGUGUAAGUAUGAACGAAUUCAUAUUGUGAAACUGCGUAUGGCUCAUUAAAUCAGUUAUAGUUUGUUUGAUUGUAACUACUACUCGGAUAACCGUAGUAAUUCGAGAGCUAAUAUGUCCCCGACUUCUGGAAGGGAUGCAUUUAUUAGAUAAAAGGUCGAGGCGGGCUCUGCCCGUUGCUCUGAUGAUUCAUGAUAACUCGACGGAUCGCAUGGCCUUAGUGCUGGUGACGCAUCAUUCAAAUUUCUGCCCUAUCAACUUUUGAUGGUAGGAUAGUGGCCUACCACGGUGGUAACAGGUGACAGAGAAUUAGGGUUUGAUUCCGGAGAGGGAGCCUGAGAAACGGCUACCACAUCCAAGGAAGGCAGCAGGCGCACAAAUUACCCAAUCCUGACACGGGGAGGUAGUGACAAUAAAUAACAAUACCGGGCUCUUUGAGUCUGGUAAUUUGAAUGAGUACAAUCUAAAUCCCUUAACGAGGAUCCAUUGGAGGGUAAGUCUGGUGCCAGAAGCCGCGGUAAUUCCAGCUCCAAUAGCGUAUAUUUAAGUUGUUGCAGUUAAAAAGCUCGUAGUUGAACCUUGGGAUGGGUCGCCCGUUCCACCUUUGGUGAGCACUGGUCGGCUUGUCUCUUCUGUCGGCGGUAUGCUCCUGGCCUUAACUGGCCGGGUCGUGCCUCCGGUGCUGUCACUUUGGAGAAAUUAGAGUGCUCAAAGCAAGCCUACGCUCUGUAUACAUUAGCAUGGGAUAACAUCAUAGGAUUUCGAUCCUAUUGUGUUGGCCUUCGGGAUCGGAGUAAUGAUUAACAGGGACAGUUGGUGUAGAAACCCGUUAAAAAAAAAAAAGAGAGAGUGGUCGAGUAUC
Molecule: non-coding RNA, 916 nt
Filed under: Brassica napus (rape)
Lineage: Eukaryota; Viridiplantae; Streptophyta; Magnoliopsida; Brassicales; Brassicaceae
Description: Eukaryotic small subunit ribosomal RNA
Rfam family: Eukaryotic small subunit ribosomal RNA
Source: Rfam by way of RNAcentral